UCCCAGACUCCUACGGGAGGCAGCAGUGGGGAAUCUUCCGCAAUGGGCGAAAGCCUGACGGAGCAACGCCGCGUGAGUGAAGAAGUAUUUCGGUAUGUAAAGCUCUAUCAGCAGGGAAGAAGAUGACAGUACCUGAGUAAGAAGCCCCGGCUAACUACGUGCCAGCAGCCGCGGUAAUACGUAGGGGGCAAGCGUUAUCCGGAUUUACUGGGUGUAAAGGGAGCGUAGACGGCAGUGCAAGUCUGGAGUGAAAGGCGGGGGCUCAACCCCCGGACUGCUCUGGAAACUGUACGGCUGGAGUGCAGGAGAGGUAAGUGGAAUUCCUAGUGUAGCGGUGAAAUGCGUAGAUAUUAGGAGGAACACCAGUGGCGAAGGCGGCUUACUGGACUGUAACUGACGUUGAGGCUCGAAAGCGUGGGGAGCAAACAGGAUUAGAUACCCUCGUAGC
This 448-nucleotide ribosomal RNA is filed under the name uncultured bacterium. Its description in RNAcentral is "bacterial SSU rRNA". It matches the Rfam family "Bacterial small subunit ribosomal RNA", at positions 329 to 794 of the family's 1533-position model. The record is from RNAcentral.